AUUUAAAUAGCUUAAUUAAGAGCAUGACAUUGAAGAUGUUUUGGUGACCUUGGGGUCUUUAAAUA
This 65-nucleotide transfer RNA is filed under the name Clusiodes albimanus. Its description in RNAcentral is "tRNA-Phe". Lineage: Eukaryota; Metazoa; Arthropoda; Insecta; Diptera; Clusiidae. The record is from RNAcentral.